RNAcentral lists this ribosomal RNA (481 nucleotides) under uncultured bacterium. Its description in RNAcentral is "partial 16S ribosomal RNA". It matches the Rfam family "Bacterial small subunit ribosomal RNA", at positions 28 to 507 of the family's 1533-position model. The record is from RNAcentral.
GAUGAACGCUGGCGGCGUGCUUAACACAUGCCAGUCGAACGAAGCAUUUAAGACAGAUUACUUCGGUUUGAAGUCUUUUAUGACUGAGUGGCGGACGGGUGAGUAACGCGUGGGUAACCUGCCUCAUACAGGGGGAUAGCAGCUGGAAACGGCUGGUAAUACCGCAUAAGCGCACAGUACCACAUGGUACAGUGUGAAAAACUCCGGUGGUAUGAGAUGGACCCGCGUCUGAUUAGCUUGUUGGCGGGGUAACGGCCCACCAAGGCGACGAUCAGUAGCCGACCUGAGAGGGUGACCGGCCACAUUGGGACUGAGACACGGCCCAGACUCCUACGGGAGGCAGCAGUGGGGAAUAUUGCACAAUGGAGGAAACUCUGAUGCAGCGACGCCGCGUGAGUGAAGAAGUAGUUCGCUAUGUAAAGCUCUAUCAGCAGGGAAGAUAGUGACGGUACCUGACUAAGAAGCGCCGGCUAAAUACGUG